Molecule: ribosomal RNA, 377 nt
Filed under: uncultured Planctomycetota bacterium
Lineage: Bacteria; Pseudomonadati; Planctomycetota
Description: bacterial SSU rRNA
Rfam family: Bacterial small subunit ribosomal RNA
Source: RNAcentral
UAAUACGAACCGUACGAACGUUAUUCGGAAUCACUGGGCUUAAAGAGUGCGUAGGCGGCCUAGCAAGUUGGGUGUGAAAUCCCUCGGCUCAACCGAGGAACUGCGCCCAAAACUGUUAGGCUUGAGGGAGACAGAGGUGAGCGGAACUAAUGGUGGAGCGGUGAAAUGCGUUGAUAUCAUUAGGAACACCGGUGGCGAAGGCGGCUCACUGGGUCUCUUCUGACGCUGAGGCACGAAAGCUAGGGGAGCGAACGGGAUUAGAUACCCCGGUAGUCCUAGCUGUAAACGAUGAGCACUAGGUUGUGGGACCUUCCACAGUUUCACGACCGUAGCGAAAGUGUUAAGUGCUCCGCCUGGGGAGUAUGGUCGCAAGGCUG